CACUUAAAAUAAUCAUUUUUCCUCAACAUCGCCAUGUGAAGCCGUAACCAUGGCAACGCCCUUGUUUGUAGCAGAGUAAGUAUCUAUAAUAAUAAUAAUAUAGUUUAUUUCUAAGUUGCUUUCAGGGCACAUAAGGUCACCUCACAAAAAUAAAAAAUGAAAGAAAGAA
This is a long non-coding RNA of Xiphophorus hellerii (green swordtail), 169 nucleotides long. RefSeq lists it as uncharacterized. Lineage: Eukaryota; Metazoa; Chordata; Actinopteri; Cyprinodontiformes; Poeciliidae. The transcript is spliced from 5 exons. The record is from RefSeq and is a predicted model, not a curated record.